RNAcentral lists this ribosomal RNA (301 nucleotides) under uncultured bacterium. RNAcentral describes it as "partial 16S ribosomal RNA". It matches the Rfam family "Bacterial small subunit ribosomal RNA", at positions 509 to 809 of the family's 1533-position model. The record is from RNAcentral.
CAGUAGCCACGGUAAUACGAAGGGUGCAAGCGUUACUCGGAAUUACUGGGCGUAAAGCGUGCGUAGGUGGUGGUUUAAGUCCGUUGUGAAAGCCCUGGGCUCAACCUGGGAAUUGCAGUGGAUACUGGAUCACUAGAGUGUGGUAGAGGAUAGUGGAAUUUCCGGUGUAGCAGUGAAAUGCGUAGAGAUCGGAAGGAACAUCUGUGGCGAAGGCGACUAUCUGGGCCAACACUGACACUGAGGCACGAAAGCGUGGGGAGCAAACAGGAUUAGAUACCCGAGUAGUCCCUGUCUCUUAUAA